CUACUACCUAGAAAUCGCAGCCAGGGCCAGACCGGUGUUUGUCCUAAGUCGGAACUUGAUUGGGCUGAGAAAUCACAUUGUGACUAUUCCACGACUUGAACAAGGGGUAGAAAUCGCAGGCACCGCGAAAUAGAAACUUCCUAGGACCAAGAAGCCAACGACGCCCGAAACCGUGGGGUCCUGUCACAGAAACCCCAGCAGCGCAGCCACCGGACUGGGUUCUGGAGGCCGAGCCGCAGUCCGUGCGGCGGCGCUGGGAAGAGAAGGCGCCCCGGCAGCUCCCCUGCCACCGGCCCCGAGGAGCGGCUGGCUCCCCCAGCCCAGCGCCGCCGCCGCCCGGUAACUCCAGGCGCAACUGGGCGCAACUGGGGCAGCUGCGACACCGAAUCCCUCACAUCUGCAACCUGGGUGCUGCGGCCACUGAGAAAAUGGAGGCGCAGACCAACGAGCGGUGCCGCGACCGAGAGACCUCGGCUGGCGAAAUGGUGGUGCCGGGAGCCUGCGAGUGACGCCAGCCGGCGGGGUUGUCAAGGACAACAUUCGUUUUGACGCAGCCAAUGGCGCCGUCACCAAGAAACCAUCGACUCUGAGAAAAAAGAGAGGUUCGGCCACCGAGAAACUCCGUACGACAAGUGCUGUGGCAGAAAAACCGCCUACUCCGCGCCACAGGCAAAACAGCCAAUGGAAACCCCAGGUGCUGCGACCGUGACACCGGCACUAGAGGGUCUCGGAUGGAGAAAGCGGCGCACGGAGACCAGGAAACUAUGUGUAGCACAACUAGCAGAAAACCGUCUGGUCGGCCAUCCGGGAGAAAGCGCGGAUCAGAAACAAGCGACUUCGAUGCAGGGAACCGCGCAGCCACUGAAGAAAGUGACCCACGUGGCAGUGGUGCCAGCGAAACACUGCAGUUUGGACGGCAGCUGUGGGGAUGCCACAGAGAAACAUGCACUGCCACUGAAGUACAUCCAGCUCCGCGGAGCUAGUGUUCAUAUGAUCAAGAAACCGCCAGUUGGGCUCUGCUAGAAACUUUUAGUCCUCCCUUAACGGCUAUCCUACCCACAACAGACAAUGCCUUUACCCAGCACCUAGCGGUGCUGAGACCCGCCUGGGCCAGCACAGAGCGCAGAGCAGUACGGGUACGGAGAAACGCCGGACUCAGUGAAACCAGCCUUGCCUCCAGCGGAUUCCCCGGCUUCGCCGGACGCCACAGGCAGAGUGCCGCGGGGAAACCUCUGGCUCCCUAAACCGAUUAGAUUGUGGGAGUGGGGGGGACACUCACAAGUUGUGUGGAAGGGAACCAGCGGCAAUGGGACCCGGCGAGCACUUGCCCGCAGCAAAUGCCUGCGCUGCUGCAAAAAAAACAACUUUUGGCGCAAAGAAUGUUGCGGCCAGAGAGCAUCCGCUGUCGCUGACAAAGGAGUAGCAAUGGCAAUGAGAAACCGCCGGCGCCACGGCCGACCGCGGCGGCUCACGCCUAUGAUCCUUGCAGUUUGGGAGGCCGAGGUGGGCGCAUUACUUGAGAUCAGGAGACUAGCCUGGCCAACAAGGUGAAACCCCAUCUCUACUAAAAUACAAAAGAUUAGCCGGUUGUGGUGGCAGGCACCUGUAAUCCCAGCUACUCCGGAGGCUGAGGCAGAAGAAUCGAUUGAACUCAGGAGGCAGAGGUUGCAGUGAGCCAAGAUCGCGCCACUGCACUCCAGCCUGGGAGACAGAGUGAGCUCCGUCUCAAAAAAAAGAAAGAAACCGCUGGCGCCGGGAAAGGAGCCGUGCAGCGAUGGACCCAUGGUGCGCUCCGUGCUACCAAAGUGCUGUGGCCUCUACCCACUCUCGAUUCCCAAGGCUGUUUUUCGGGCUUAGGGAAGUCUGUUAUAUUUUUAUUUCUGCUUCUUUCUUUUCUUUCUUUUAUUUCUUUCUUUCUUUUUCUUUCUUUCAUUCUUUCUUUUUCUUUUUCUUUCUUCUUUCCUUUCUUUCUCUCUUUCCUUUUUUUCUUUUUCUCUUUAUUUCUUUUUUCUUUAUUUUUUUUUUUAACAGUAUCUUGCUCUGUUGCCCAGGCUGGUGCAGUGGCGUGAUCACUGCUCAGUGCAGCCUCGCCUUCUUGGGCUCCAGCUAUCCUCCCGCCUCAGCCUGUGGAGCAGCUGGGACCACAGGUGCGCGACACCACACCCGACUAAUUUUUUGUAGUUUUUGUAGGGUCUCGUUUUGUUGCCUAGGCUGUUCUCGAACUCCUGAGCUCAAGCAGUCCGUCCGCCUGGGCGGACUAAUAUCACAAAGCGCUAGAAUCACAGGCAUGAGCCACCGUGCUGGGAGGGAAGUCUGUAUUGUUGCUGCGUUCAACCCAGUGCAUAGUGCAUGAGAAGAGGAGGCAGUUUAGGGGCCCAGAACCAAGCGGAUGGGGCUGGUUGCAGGAACAAAGUAAAAACCAUUCUGAUUGCCAACAGCUGCCUACGCAGGAAACACCCUUCCAACCUCCGUGGCGGGGCUCUCCCAGGCCACCCCUCGGUCCCAGAGUCUCCUCCCCGUCCAGAGCUCUCAGGAUCCUACAGAAGGGGCGGACAACUCUUCCCUUCCAAACUGGAAAGUCGGCCUAGGUUUCCGAGGAUAAUGAAAGGCACAGCGUUUUUUGACCUCGACUUCAGGCCUGACCCCCCACUCUCUCGGUCCCGUACCUCUUCUGCGGGAUGUAACUCUGUGGGAACCGCUCCUUUAUUCUGAUGAUUAACUGUCUGAUAUCCUUGAUAUUUGGGGAUAGUAGAUGAAAGAGAGCAGGAGAGAAAAAUGGACGGCAAGACUCCAGCUCAGAAGGUGGGAAUGAUGGCAAAAGUCCGCUACCUCUCCAAGCCCAAUAAACAUCUCAAACUGCUCUACACUUUUCUGUACCCUUGAUCUGUGAAAUGGAUCACUGACGUUUUCUGUCUUUCGGGAAAUGCAAAGCAGGCGAAUUUUCAAGCGCUUGAAUUCCCUCUUUUUCCUACUUUUCAGUCAGAGUGGAGCUAAAAACUCCUUCCCCAUAGGAAAUAUGGAACUGCCUCUGCCCGGAAGAAAAACGUCCCUUUUCCCUAAGCUUUCACAUUUCCCGAAAAAUCUACACAUCCGCAUGAAAUCCUCACAAGAGACCUACAGACCCUACCGGGAGCGUUCCUGUCACUACAAAAAAUUUAAAAAUUAGCCGGAUGCGGUCGCGGGUGCCUGUAGUCCCAGGUACCAGGGAGGCUGAGGUGGGAGGAUCUCUUGAGCCCAGGAGGUCCAGGAUGCAGUUAACGAUGAUCCUAAGACCACGAGGCAAUUGGAGGAUCCUCAAAUACCAGGGAGAAACUAGCUAGCAGACAUAGUAUGGUGGGAGGGGAAGAUCAAGGCAAAUGCCUUGGGAGUGGGUGAGAAUUGCGACUUCAUAUUGGAUCUCCUGACCUGUGAAGGCCCUUUUCUAGGCUCCUCUGGACCUGUCCUCUGCCCAGGUUCAACCAGAAAAGGAUGGAGUUUGUUGCAUGGUAUCAUCAGGGUGAGGUUGGGAGAUGAUGCGGGAACGCUCAUCCCUGGUCUUAGGAACGGGAGAACAAAGGAAAAAUGGCAUCAUUUCCACCUAAAAAGUUACAAGCACUUCACCAGAAGGAACAGCCCAGGCGGAGCCUUUGUAAAAGAAAAGCCCCACCCACUGCUUCGCACUCCUCAUUUCCACCCAGCAGAGCAUUUUAGUGACAAAGCUGAGCGGGAGCCAGAGUUCACUCCUGUAAUCCCAGCACUUUGGGAGGCCCAGGCGGGAGGAUCACUUUAACCCACGCGUUCAGGACCAUCCGAAGCACAUAGCAAGACCGUGCCACUACAAAAAAUUUAAAAAAUUAGCGGGAUGCAGUCGCGGGUGCCUGUAGUCCCAGCUACCAAGGAGGCUGACGUGGGAGGAUCUCUUGAGCCCAGGAGGUCCAGGCUGCAGUGAACGAUGAUCCUUCACGGCACCACUGCACUCCAGCCUGGGUGACAGACUGAGACUUUGUCUCAAAAAAUAAAAUGAAAUAAAAAUACAGCCGAGAUUAGGAACUCUUUAAGAAGGGGUCACCUGAGACAUUAUUAGUAUACCAUUAACAGGAGAAAAUGCUGCAAAUUAAAGUAUCAUAAUGGUAGGAGGCUACCCAUUUAAAAAUAUAUACCUGUUUCAGAGACACUAAAGUGAGAAAAAAUUUACUCUAGAAUUGAUUAAAUUCAGAUAUCCACUGCUUUAUUUUAAACCUUAAGUGCCAUUUUAGUUUAUUUACCUCUUAGAAAUAGCAUGGAGAUUGGAGUUGUAAUUUUUUAAUAUUUAUUUAUUUAUUUAUUUAGAGACAGAGUCUGGCUCUGUUGCCCAGGCUGGAGUGCAGUGGUGUGAUCUCAGCUCACUGCAGCCUCUGCCUCCCGGGUUCAAGCUAUUCUGAGGCCUCAUAUCUGGGAACCUGCCCCAAUAGUCACAUAGGUUCUUUUCUAUUUUCCCUAAGCAUCGGCCGGUUUGAGAAAUAAAGGGACAGAGUACAAAAGAGAGAAAUUCUAAAGCUGGGUGUCUAGGGGAGACCUCACAUGUCAGUAGGUUCUGUGAUGCCCCACAAGCUGUAAAACCAGCAAGUUUUUAUUAGGGACUUUCGAAAGGGGAGGGAGUGUACGAAUAGGGUGUGGGUCACAAAGAUCACAUACUUCACAAGGUAAUAGAAUAUCACAAGGCAAAUGGAGGCAGGGCGAGAUCACAGGACCACAGGACCGGGGUGAAAUUCAAAUUGCUAAUGAAGUUUUGGGCACCAUUGUCAUUGAUAACAUCUUAUCAGGAGACAGGGUUUUGAGAGCAACUGGUCUGACCAAAAUUUAUUAGGCGGGAAUUUCCCCUUCCUGAUAAGCCUGGGAGCACUAUGGGAGACUGGGGUUUAUUUCAUCCCUACAGUCUCGACCAUAGAAGACGGCCACACCCAAGGGGGGCAUCUAUAGACCCACCCUCAGGUGCGUAUUCUCUUUCCCAGGGAUGUUCCUUGCUGAGAAAAAGAAUUCAGCAAUAUUUCUUCCAUUUGCUUUUGAAAGAAGAGAAAUAUGGCUCUGUUCCGCCUGGCUUUUUCCCAGCGGUCAGAGUUUAAGGUUAUCUCUCUUGUUUCCUAAACAUUGCUGUUAUACUGUUCUUUUUUCAAGGUGCCCAGAUUUCAUACUGUUUAAACACACAUGCUCUACAAUUUGUGGAGUUAAUGCAAUUAUCACAGGGUCCUGAGGCGACAUACAUUCUCCUCGGCUUACGAGAUGACAGGAUUAAGAGAUUAAAGUAAAGACAGGCAUAGGAAAUCACAAGGGCAUUGAUUGGAGAAGAGAUAAGUGUCCUUGAAAUCUUCACAAUUUAUGUUUAGAGAUUGCAGUAAAGAUAGGCAUAAGAAAUUAUAAAAGUAUUAAUUUGGGGAACUAAUAAACGUCCAUGAAAUCUUCACAAUCCACGUUCUUCUGCCAUGGCUUCGGCCGGUCCCUCCUUUUGGGGUCCCUGACUUCCCGCUACAGCCUCAGCCUCCCAAGUAGCGGGGAUUACAGGCACCAGCCACAAUGCUCAGCAAUUUUUUUGUAUUUUUAGUAGAGAGGGGGUCUCGCCAUUUUGUCCAGUCUGGUCUUGAACUCCUGACUUCUAUAUGAUUGUAUUUGUUUUUUCACAAUGUAGUUCAAUACAUUGAAAUGGUUGGGCAAGUGGCAAAAUCAUAUUCCUCACUCCUCUGGUUUUUUAUAAGGUUCAAUUUAUCAUAAAUACUUUCCACUUCUUGCCUCAUCUUUUACUUCUCCUCACAUAUUGAGUGGUUCAUGGCACAAAAAUCAUUAUUUGUGACAGACACUGUGCCAACUGUAUUUUGUGCUUUAUCUGAUUUCAUUCUCAACUGAAAACUGCGGCAAGCACAUGCUUUGUACUGGGCUUGCUUCUCAUUUCCAUUUUGUAGAUACACACCCUCACUUAGGGAAGUAUGAGUUUGUACAGCUCUGCCUGUGGCUGAAUAGAUAAAUGUAAUUUUACCAUUCAGUGUUAAAUCAACUUUUAGUGUAAAUUUAAGGCCCAUCUUCUAACAUAGGGGUACGUGUGAUUUUACUGUGUCCCUUCUCCCUAACACUCCAGUUCAAGAUAGCAACCUAAAUUCUGAGUUGAUUAUUCUGGACACACUCCCUCAAAAUGCGACUGUAAGACACCAGAAUACACCACCCCAGUAUGCCAAUAUAUCAAUAUACCUCUGGCGUAUUGAUUAUUUCAGGCCAGGCAUGGUGGCUCACACCUGUAAUCCUAGUGCUUUGAGAGGCCAGGAGUUCAUGAGCAGCCUGGGCAUGUAGGGAGACCCAUCUCUAUAAAAAUAUUUUUAAAAGAUUAGCUGGGCAUGGUGGCAUGUGCCUGUAGUCUUAGCUGCUGGGGAGGCUAAGGCAGGAGGAUGGCUUGAGCCCAGGAGUUUGAAGUUGCAGUGAACUCUGAUUGCACCACUGCAUUCUAGCCUGGGUGACAGAGUAAGACGCUAUCUCUUAAAAAACAAAACAAAACACUCACGCCUGUAAUCCCAGCACAUUGAGAGGCCAAGGUGGGCAGAUCACUUGAGGUCAGGAGUUUGAGACCAGCCUGGCCAACAUGGUGAAACCCCGUUUCUACUAAAAAUACCAAAAUGAGCCAGGCGUGGUGGCACGCAGCUGUAAUCUCAGCUACUUGAGAGGCUGAGGUGGGAGAAUUGUUUAAACCCAGGAGGCAGAGGUUGCAGUGAGCCAAGAUCGCACCAAACCACUCCAGGCUGGGCAACAGAGCAAGACUCCAUCUCAAACAAAACAAAACGAGAUGAGAGAAAAACCUCAACCUGUACACCUCUUUAUGACAGAACAACACAGAAAGAGAAAGACAAAGAAAAGACUACUCUAGGAGGAAAUGGAUGAAACAAUAUGAUUCUUACCACAAAGUACCAGAAAGUACACCAUAGUCAAUACACCAGCACUGGUCACACAAAUCCUUUUCUCCCAUCAGUCAAAAUUUUGGACAGGAAAAAUGAACAGAGUGAUAUUUACUGUCUACUUGACCAAAUUCCACAGAGAGGGGCCUGGAAUCUGACUGGUAAGAAAUUCUUAUCCUUAGGCUGGCUGAUUAGCUCCUGGUUUUCCUUAACUGUGGGCUUCCAAAAGAGCCAACCUUUGGGUUCCUGCUUACAACACCAAAUUUCUAGGGGCCAAGGGAAAUCUUUCUCUUAGCACUCUGAAAGUUUGUUGUAAAAUCGACUUGCAAAAACAGAAGAUUAACAGGAGAAAACACAUACAAAAUGUAUAAUUGCCCAAACCCCCAGUGAGGUGCAGGAGCUUAUAUAUCAUCUUGAGAUUACAGAAAGAAGUGGAUCAUGGCAGAACUGGUUAUAGGAGGGAGAGAAGAUGAGGUCUGCUAGCAAUGGUAGUCUUGUUAUGUACAUGAAACCUCACAGAUAGCAUCCCUCAGAGAACUGUUUCCUUAAGACCUUUAAAGGUGUCAGACUCUCAUUAAUCCUUCCUACAUCUGGAAAAGAGAAGGCCUGUAUAUAUCAAUGCACGAUGGCAUUGCAGGGCUACUUCUUUUGCUGCCUCUGACAGCCAUCUCAAAAUAUGUCAAAGAAAUAUAUUUUGGGGUAAAACAUUUUUCUUUCUUUCAAAGUGGAAUAUUAAGCGUACGUCUCUUAUAGAUACACUUUUAAAUAAAUAAGGGAAUCCACUUUUUCUAAUUUGUUAAGAUAUUUUUUGUUUUAAUAAUGAAGAGAGGUUAACUUUUAAAAAGGUUUUCUACAUCUACUGAUAUUAUCAUGUGGUUUUAUUUCUUUUUACUGUUAAUGCGGUGAAUAAUAUUGAUUGAUUUUCAAAUGCGAGUUCCUGGAGUAAAUCCCACUAGGUCAUGAUGUAUUUUUAAAAUAUAUAUAUUGCUGGAUUCAGUAUGCUAAUGCAUUAUUCAUAAUUUUUAACAUCUGUGAUCAUGAGAGACAUUGGCUGACCAAAAAUGGGAAAUUGACAAGAGUAAUAAACAAAAUGGGCUUACAAAUAUUCAUACUUGCUUGAUACUUAAAAAGGCCUUUUAAUGUAUUUUUCUGCCCCACUCAAGCAGACUUUUUAAUUUCUGGCAAGAGGUCUCAUUCAGGCUGUUCAAAGGUCAAUAUUAAUCUGAAUCAUUCCACAUUUGUAGGCAUCCUCAUUAUCUUUUCAAUACAGAUUGAAUUAUUGGGGAUUCAGACAGCAGAGGAAAAAAGUCAAAGCAUAUAAGGUGAGUAAGAAUUGUCACUUCCUGACAGGACCAGGAACAUCAGGAUAUUUGGAGAAUCUUAACAAAAGGAGAAUUCAUCCAAAUCUCUAGGUAUUGCAGGCAAAGUAUGAUAGCAAGAUCCUGGUUUGGUUUCCUAGCAUCUGGACGCUUUUAAAAGUCUAAUUUGAGAUUCCUUAUGAAAAUGUCCAGGUAAGUCAACUUAAAGAGAGCCUACACUGCAGCAU
RNAcentral lists this long non-coding RNA (8436 nucleotides) under Homo sapiens (human). RNAcentral's name for it is "non-protein coding lnc-ZNF131-4:1". The record is from RNAcentral. Lineage: Eukaryota; Metazoa; Chordata; Mammalia; Primates; Hominidae.